This 107-nucleotide small nucleolar RNA is filed under the name Oryza punctata. RNAcentral describes it as "Plant small nucleolar RNA R71". It matches the Rfam family "Plant small nucleolar RNA R71". From Rfam's summary of the family: R71 is a member of the C/D box family of snoRNAs containing the C (UGAUGA) and D (CUGA) box motifs. Multiple nearly identical copies of this snoRNA have been identified in Arabidopsis, and it is thought to function as a 2'-O-ribose methylation guide for 18S ribosomal RNA. Lineage: Eukaryota; Viridiplantae; Streptophyta; Magnoliopsida; Poales; Poaceae. The record is from Rfam by way of RNAcentral.
AUCCCAUGGUGAGGUCAAGCCAGGAUGUAUUCUUAGAGUCUUUCCCAUGCCUCUAAAAUCGACUCAUUAUUUGCCUAGUGGAAACAUGAAAUCUUCCCACGAAGGAU